RNAcentral lists this ribosomal RNA (426 nucleotides) under uncultured Burkholderia sp. RNAcentral's name for it is "bacterial SSU rRNA". It matches the Rfam family "Bacterial small subunit ribosomal RNA", at positions 337 to 755 of the family's 1533-position model. The record is from RNAcentral. Lineage: Bacteria; Pseudomonadati; Pseudomonadota; Betaproteobacteria; Burkholderiales; Burkholderiaceae.
UCCUACGGGAGGCAGCAGUGGGGAAUUUUGGACAAUGGGCGAAAGCCUGAUCCAGCAAUGCCGCGUGUGUGAAGAAGGCCUUCGGGUUGUAAAGCACUUUUGUCCGGAAAGAAAUCCUUGGCUCUAAUACAGUCGGGGGAUGACGGUACCGGAAGAAUAAGCACCGGCUAACUACGUGCCAGCAGCCGCGGUAAUACGUAGGGUGCGAGCGUUAAUCGGAAUUACUGGGCGUAAAGCGUGCGCAGGCGGUUUGCUAAGACCGAUGUGAAAUCCCCGGGCUCAACCUGGGAACUGCAUUGGUGACUGGCAGGCUAGAGUAUGGCAGAGGGGGGUAGAAUUCCACGUGUAGCAGUGAAAUGCGUAGAGAUGUGGAGGAAUACCGAUGGCGAAGGCAGCCCCCUGGGCCAAUACUGACGCUCAUGCACG